UACAUGGGGUGCAAACGUUGCUCGGAAUUAUUGGGCGUAAAGCGCACGUAGGUGGUCGCUUAAGUCGGAUGUGAAAGCCCUCGGCUCAACCGAGGAAGGGCAUCCGAAACUGGCGUGCUUGAGUAUGGAAGAGGGUCUCGGAAUUCCCGGUGUAGAGGUGAAAUUCGUAGAUAUCGGGAGGAACACCAAUGGCGAAGGCGGAGACCUGGGCCAAUACUGACGCUGAGGUGCGAAAGCGUGGGGAGCAAACAGG
Molecule: ribosomal RNA, 253 nt
Filed under: uncultured bacterium
Lineage: Bacteria
Description: partial 16S ribosomal RNA
Rfam family: Bacterial small subunit ribosomal RNA
Source: RNAcentral